Molecule: long non-coding RNA, 363 nt
Organism: Oncorhynchus kisutch (coho salmon)
Lineage: Eukaryota; Metazoa; Chordata; Actinopteri; Salmoniformes; Salmonidae
Exons: 3
Source: RefSeq, a predicted model, not a curated record
UACAACACCCCUCAUUUUGAUGUCACCACAAACGACUUCAACAAUGACAGUCUCCGAAUGAAGUGUGUAGCAAACAGAGCAGAGGAAGAAUUCCGUUUGAGUUGUCAGGCAAUGGUUUUGAAGGUGAAUUCCUAGGAUUUUACAUGGUCUGUAUCUAGACCGCUCAUGUCCAAUCACAGGCUGAUCUUCUCUUCCUGACACAUGAGUCCAGCAUCAUCCCCACCACCCACCCACCCACCUCUGACUGAGACCAGGGUUGUGAUUCCUGGCACGAAAUGAAGGAAAAUGGUCCGAAACGGAGUGAUGCGGCAAGGCUGUCACGACUUCUGCCGAAGUCGGUCCCUCUCCUUGUCCGGGCGGCGC